GCGCCAUCCAUGGAUAUCAUCAGAUGGGUUCUUAUCUCAACUGCAGUUCGAAUUACAGAGGAAUGCAUUUAUAAGCAGCCCCAGGUGUGUCUACAGUUAGCAUCUCUAAGUUCUCUAUUGUCAUUCAGAUGGAUUCAUCGGUUGUGACUCUUUCAAGCCAGUGCCUUAGAGUGAUUAGCUGGAAAUUUUGACAGUUUCAUGUUCUGAGCAUAGAGGAGCACAACCAUGCAUCUUGAUCAUUUAUCAGAGGCUUUGUGAACUUAUAAAGUACCCUGUUUUUCUAGGGAAGCACAAGUAUGAGAUGGAACAAUUAGUGUUACUAAUUAAUUUGUGCUUCUAUUUCUAUUCGUACUACUAAAUGUUUUAGCAUGUAAACUCAUUAUCUAUGUGUAUGUGUGUGUUCAAAUUGAUAGAGAUGCUGAAUGCUCAUUCAAGGCCAAAGGCUCGUCUGGGGGACAUAUGUGGACUCCUGAGUCCAGACUGCUAGUCCUGCGCGAUGUCAAUGGAUCAGCUCUUUUAUUUACAAGAUCUAUGUGUUGAUGAAACCUGUAGAUAGCAAUUGCGUACAAACUGUAGAUAAAAAUUGCUGUUGUGUUCUUGCUCGUGCAAUUUAUUUGUACAGUCGAUUAAUUGAAGAUCAACCGUUUCCAAAUGCAGUGCGGCCUGAUGUCUGAGUGGCUUGUCAAAUGUUACAAUGUUAUAAAGCUUUAUUUGAAAAAUGAUUCUACCCAGUGAA
This is a long non-coding RNA of Populus nigra (black poplar), 736 nucleotides long. RefSeq lists it as uncharacterized. Lineage: Eukaryota; Viridiplantae; Streptophyta; Magnoliopsida; Malpighiales; Salicaceae. The transcript has 2 exons. The record is from RefSeq and is a predicted model, not a curated record.